RNAcentral lists this ribosomal RNA (253 nucleotides) under uncultured bacterium. RNAcentral's name for it is "partial 16S ribosomal RNA". It matches the Rfam family "Bacterial small subunit ribosomal RNA", at positions 524 to 776 of the family's 1533-position model. The record is from RNAcentral.
UACGUAGGGACCAAGCGUUGUUCGGAUUUACUGGGCGUAAAGGGCGCGUAGGCGGCGUGACAAGUCACUUGUGAAAUCUCCGGGCUUAACUCGGAACGGUCAAGUGAUACUGUUGUGCUAGAGUACAGAAAGGGUAAUCGGAAUUCUCGGUGUAGCGGUGAAAUGCGUAGAUAUCGAGAGGAACACCAGAGGCGAAGGCGGAUUACUAGGCUGAUACUGACGCUGAGGCGCGAAAGCUAGGGUAGCAAACGGG